Molecule: ribosomal RNA, 770 nt
Filed under: uncultured organism
Description: bacterial SSU rRNA
Rfam family: Bacterial small subunit ribosomal RNA
Source: RNAcentral
CGCGUGGGUAACGUGCCCCAAUCCUGGGAAUAACCCUCGGAAACGAGGGCUAAUACCGAAUGUGGCCCCCGAUCGGAUGAUCGGUGGCUAAAGGUGGCCUCUUCUAUGCUGCCGGGUUGGGAUCGGCCCGCGUCCCAUUAGCUAGUUGGUGAGGUAACGGCCCACCAAGGCAACGAUGGGUAGCCGGCCUGAGAGGGUGUCCGGCCACACUGGCACUGAGACAAGGGCCAGUCCCCUAUGGGAGGCGCAGGCGGGAAUAGUUCCCAAUGGACGAAAGUCUGAGGACGCGACGCCGCGUGAGCGAAGAAGGCCUUCGGGUUGUAAAGCUCUGUCAGGAGGGAAGAAGGCGCUGGGUGUUAAUAGCACCAAGCGUUGACGGUACUUCCAGAGGAAGCCCCGGCUAAAUACGUGCCAGCAGCCGCGGUAAUACGUAUGGGGCAAGCGUUGUCCGGAUUAACUGGGCGUAAAGGGCACGCAGGCGGUUCGUUUAGUCGAAGGUGAAAUCCCUGGGCUCAACUCAGGAACUGCCUUCGAUACUGGCGAACUAGAGUGGCGUAGAGGAAAGCGGAACUCCUGGUGUAACGGUGGAAUGUGUAGAUAUCAGGAGGAACACCGGUGGCGAAGGCGGCUUUCUGGACGCACACUGACGCUCAGGUGCGAAAGCGUGGGUAGCAAACAGGAUUAGAUACCCUGGUAGUCCACGCCGUAAACGAUGGGUACUAGGUGUCGGGGGUAUCGAUNCCCUCGGUGCCGAAGUCAACGCAUUAAGU